This 279-nucleotide ribosomal RNA is filed under the name uncultured bacterium. Its description in RNAcentral is "partial 16S ribosomal RNA". It matches the Rfam family "Bacterial small subunit ribosomal RNA", at positions 506 to 784 of the family's 1533-position model. The record is from RNAcentral.
UGCCAGCAGCCGCGGUAAUACGAAGGGUGCUAGCGUUGUUCGGAAUCACUGGGCAUAAAGAGCACGUAGGCGGACACGUCAGUCGGGUGUGAAAUCCCUCGGCCUAACCGAGGAACUGCGCCCGAUACUGCGUGUCUUGAGGGCAGGAGGGGAACGUGGAAUUCCUGGUGGAGCGGUGAAAUGCGUUGAUAUCAGGAGGAACACCGGCGGCGAAGGCGACGUUCUGGCCUGCUUCUGACGCUGAGGUGCGAAAGCCAGGGGAGCAAACGGGAUUAGAUA